This 216-nucleotide ribosomal RNA is filed under the name Glomeromycotina sp. RNAcentral's name for it is "partial small subunit ribosomal RNA". The stretch from base 40 to 216 matches the Rfam family "Eukaryotic small subunit ribosomal RNA", at positions 686 to 864 of the family's 1831-position model. The record is from RNAcentral. Lineage: Eukaryota; Fungi; Glomeromycota.
GGGUCAGUAGGUUGGUCGUGCCACCGGUACGUACUGGUCUCACUGAUUCCUCCUUCCUGAAGAACCGUAAUGCCAUUAAUUUGGUGUUGCGGGGAAACAGGACUGUUACUUUGAAAAAAUUAGAGUGUUUAAAGCAAGCUAACGCUUGAAUACAUUGGCAUGGAAUAAUGAAAUAGGACGAUCGAUCCUAUUUUGUUGGUUUCUAGGAUUGACGUA